CCUACGGGGGGCAGCAGUGGGGAAUAUUGCACAAUGGGGGAAACCCUGAUGCAGCGACGCCGCGUGAGUGAAGAAGUAUUUCGGUACGUAAAGCUCUAUCAGCAGGGAAGAAAAUGACGGUACCUGACUAAGAAGCACCGGCUAACUACGUGCCAGCAGCCGCGGUAAUACGUAGGGGGCAAGCGUUAUCCGGAUUUACUGGGUGUAAAGGGAGCGUAGACGGCAGCGCAAGUCUGGAGUGAAAUCCCAUGGCUUAACCAUGGAACUGCUUUGGAAACUGUGCAGCUAGAGUGCAGGAGAGGUAAGCGGAAUUCCUAGUGUAGCGGUGAAAUGCGUAGAUAUUAGGAGGAACACCAGUGGCGAAGGCGGCUUACUGGACUGUAACUGACGUUGAGGCUCGAAAGCGUGGGGAGCAAACAGGAUUAGAUACCCGGGUAGUC
This 440-nucleotide ribosomal RNA is filed under the name uncultured bacterium. RNAcentral describes it as "partial 16S ribosomal RNA". It matches the Rfam family "Bacterial small subunit ribosomal RNA", at positions 338 to 795 of the family's 1533-position model. The record is from RNAcentral.